Molecule: ribosomal RNA, 158 nt
Filed under: Phyllachora sp. XL-2018q
Lineage: Eukaryota; Fungi; Ascomycota; Sordariomycetes; Phyllachorales; Phyllachoraceae
Description: 5.8S ribosomal RNA
Rfam family: 5.8S ribosomal RNA
About the family: 5.8S ribosomal RNA (5.8S rRNA) is a component of the large subunit of the eukaryotic ribosome. It is transcribed by RNA polymerase I as part of the 45S precursor that also contains 18S and 28S rRNA.
Source: RNAcentral
AAACUUUCAACAACGGAUCUCUUGGCUCUGGCAUCGAUGAAGAACGCAGCGAAAUGCGAUACAUAAUGUGAAUUGCAGAAUCCAGUGAAUCAUUGAAUCUUUGAACGCACAUUGCGCCCGCUAGCAUCCUGGCGGGCAUGCCUAUUCGAGCGUCUUUU